RNAcentral lists this ribosomal RNA (253 nucleotides) under uncultured bacterium. RNAcentral describes it as "partial 16S ribosomal RNA". It matches the Rfam family "Bacterial small subunit ribosomal RNA", at positions 524 to 776 of the family's 1533-position model. The record is from RNAcentral.
UACAGAGGUCCCAAGCGUUGUUCGGAUUCACUGGGCGUAAAGGGUGCGUAGGCGGUCGGGUAAGUCUGAUGUGAAAUCUCCAAGCUCAACCUGGAAAUGGCAUCGGAUACUAUUCGGCUCGAGGAAUGGAGGGGAGACUGGAAUACUUGGUGUAGCAGUGAAAUGCGUAGAUAUCAAGUGGAACACCAGUGGCGAAGGCGAGUCUCUGGACAUUUCCUGACGCUGAGGCACGAAAGCCAGGGGAGCAAACGGG